RNAcentral lists this ribosomal RNA (614 nucleotides) under Chryseobacterium sp. RNAcentral describes it as "bacterial SSU rRNA". It matches the Rfam family "Bacterial small subunit ribosomal RNA", at positions 106 to 719 of the family's 1533-position model. Lineage: Bacteria; Pseudomonadati; Bacteroidota; Flavobacteriia; Flavobacteriales; Weeksellaceae. The record is from RNAcentral.
GUGCGGAACACGUGUGCAACCUGCCUUUAUCAGGGGGAUAGCCUUUCGAAAGGAAGAUUAAUACCCCAUAAUAUUUUAAGUGGCAUCACUUGAAAUUGAAAACUCCGGUGGAUAAAGAUGGGCACGCGCAAGAUUAGAUAGUUGGUGAGGUAACGGCUCACCAAGUCUGCGAUCUUUAGGGGGCCUGAGAGGGUGAUCCCCCACACUGGUACUGAGACACGGACCAGACUCCUACGGGAGGCAGCAGUGAGGAAUAUUGGACAAUGGGUGAGAGCCUGAUCCAGCCAUCCCGCGUGAAGGACGACGGCCCUAUGGGUUGUAAACUUCUUUUGUAUAGGGAUAAACCUUUCCACGUGUGGGAAGCUGAAGGUACUAUACGAAUAAGCACCGGCUAACUCCGUGCCAGCAGCCGCGGUAAUACGGAGGGUGCAAGCGUUAUCCGGAUUUAUUGGGUUUAAAGGGUCCGUAGGCGGAUCUGUAAGUCAGUGGUGAAAUCUCACAGCUUAACUGUGAAACUGCCAUUGAUACUGCAGGUCUUGAGUGUUGUUGAAGUAGCUGGAAUAAGUAGUGUAGCGGUGAAAUGCAUAGAUAUUACUUAGAACACCAAUUGCGAA